RNAcentral lists this ribosomal RNA (407 nucleotides) under Verrucomicrobiota bacterium. Its description in RNAcentral is "Verrucomicrobia bacterium partial 16S ribosomal RNA". It matches the Rfam family "Bacterial small subunit ribosomal RNA", at positions 355 to 776 of the family's 1533-position model. The record is from RNAcentral. Lineage: Bacteria; Pseudomonadati; Verrucomicrobiota.
UGGGGAAUAUUGGACAAUGGAGGAAACUCUGAUCCAGCAAUUCUGUGUGUGUGAAGAAGGUUUUAGGACUGUAAAACACUUUUCGUCGGGAAGAAAAAAAUGACGGUACCUACAGAAGAAGCAACGGCUAAAUACGUGCCAGCAGCCGCGGUAAUACGCAUGUUGCGAGCGUUAUCCGGAAUUAUUGGGCUUAAAGGGCAUCUAGGCGGUAAGACAAGUUGAAGGUGAAAACCUGUGGCUCAACCAUAGGCUUGCCUACAAAACUGUUGAACUAGAGUACUGGAAAGGUGGGUGGAACUACACGAGUAGAGGUGAAAUUCGUAGAUAAGUGUAGGAAUGCCGAUGAUAAAGAUAACUCACUGGACAGAAACUGACGCUGAAGUGCGAAAACUAGGGGAGCAAACAGG